GAUGAACGCUGGCGGCGUGCUUAACACAUGCAAGUCGAACGGGAAACCUUUUAUUGAAGCUUCGGCAGAUUUAGCUGGUUUCUAGUGGCGGACGGGUGAGUAACGCGUGGGUAACCUGCCUUAUACAGGGGGAUAACAACCAGAAAUGGUUGCUAAUACCGCAUAAGCGCACAGGACCGCAUGGUCCGGUGUGAAAAACUCCGGUGGUAUAAGAUGGACCCGCGUUGGAUUAGCUAGUUGGCAGGGUAACGGCCUACCAAGGCGACGAUCCAUAGCCGGCCUGAGAGGGUGAACGGACACAUUGGGACUGAGACACGGACCAGACUCCUACGGGAGGAAGAAGUGGGGAAUAUUGCACAAUGGGGGAAACACUGAUGCAGCGACGCCGCGUGAAGGAAGAAGUAUCUCGGUAUGUAAACUUCUAUCAGCAGGGAAGAUAGUGACGGUACCUGACUAAGAAGCCCCGGCUAACUACGUG
This 478-nucleotide ribosomal RNA is filed under the name uncultured bacterium. Its description in RNAcentral is "partial 16S ribosomal RNA". It matches the Rfam family "Bacterial small subunit ribosomal RNA", at positions 28 to 507 of the family's 1533-position model. The record is from RNAcentral.